CACGUAGGGGGCGAGCGUUGUCCGGAUUUAUUGGGCGUAAAGAGCUCGUAGGCGGCUUGGUAAGUCAGGUGUGAAAACUCCGAGCUCAACUCGGAGACGCCAUCUGAUACUGCCAUGGCUAGAGUCCGGUAGGGGAGCGCGGAAUUCCUGGUGUAGCGGUGAAAUGCACAGAUAUCAGGAGGAACACCGAUGGCGAAGGCAGCGCUCUGGGCCGGUACUGACGCUGAGGAGCGAAAGCGUGGGUAGCAAACAGG
This 254-nucleotide ribosomal RNA is filed under the name uncultured bacterium. Its description in RNAcentral is "partial 16S ribosomal RNA". It matches the Rfam family "Bacterial small subunit ribosomal RNA", at positions 524 to 776 of the family's 1533-position model. The record is from RNAcentral.